ACGAAGGGUGCAAGCGUUACUCGGAAUUACUGGGCGUAAAGCGUGCGUAGGUGGUUUGUUAAGUCUGAUGUGAAAGCCCUGGGCUCAACCUGGGAAUUGCAUUGGAUACUGGCAGGCUAGAGUGCGGUAGAGGGUAGUGGAAUUCCCGGUGUAGCAGUGAAAUGCGUAGAGAUCGGGAGGAACAUCCGUGGCGAAGGCGACUACCUGGACCAGCACUGACACUGAGGCACGAAAGCGUGGGGAGCAAACAGG
This 252-nucleotide ribosomal RNA is filed under the name uncultured bacterium. RNAcentral describes it as "partial 16S ribosomal RNA". It matches the Rfam family "Bacterial small subunit ribosomal RNA", at positions 525 to 776 of the family's 1533-position model. The record is from RNAcentral.